Molecule: long non-coding RNA, 818 nt
Organism: Panicum virgatum (switchgrass)
Lineage: Eukaryota; Viridiplantae; Streptophyta; Magnoliopsida; Poales; Poaceae
Exons: 2
Source: RefSeq, a predicted model, not a curated record
CCUCUCUGCCGCCUCCCCUUCUUCUCUGUCCUCUCCCCAUUCUCCCCCGCUGCCCUUCCAACUCCCCUCCCCCUGCAGUCCCCCCUGCGGAGGCGAUGCGACGUGCCCAGCCAGCAGCGGCGGCGGCCCGGCGGUGCGGCUCGCGCGACCCGCGAGGUGGAGGAGUGGCCUGGAUGCUGCACAAUAGCGGGGCAUACCGCUGCCGAGAUCGCCGCCCGUUCAGCCCACGCUGUCGGCCAACAGGUGGGGGUCCGCUGCUUCCCGGCGCCGUCGCCCUCGGAGGCUCCGUACGAGCCUUGCCUUCGCGUUCACCCUCGAUGCCGCUACGGCCUCCUUCCCCUCCUCGCCUUGUGCCCGCACGGCGCCAUGGCCUCUUCCCCCGCCUUCCGUGCACCCCAUGGCGCUCGCCGCCGCCACGUCCUCCUCCUAUGAUUAGGGCAAAAUCGCAGGCAGGCGGCCAGGGGCCCAUAUGCGCCUGAGCGGAAUCGCAGCCAGGCGGCAAGCGGGCACAUCUCAUCACGAACGCCUCUGACGUCAGCGAGCCCCCCACGCCGAAGUGCAGCGACGCAGUUCGCCUCCUGCCCCUCCCCAGACGACUCUCCCACACCAAUCCAGCAUCCAUACUCCAUACGUCUGCUUGAAGUCCACCCCAAGGUCUGAGAACCCUUGGCGUGGAGGAGGAUAAAGUAUCUCUAACUUCCACCACAAAGUUUUUCAUAUGAUGGACCUCUUUUGUACAUUCUGGUUAUUUUUUCCCCCUGAAAUUGCUAUAGGCAUCCCUUCAUCAAGCUUAAUUAUAAGAGAAUGAGUUUUCUGCU